RNAcentral lists this ribosomal RNA (274 nucleotides) under uncultured bacterium. RNAcentral's name for it is "partial 16S ribosomal RNA". It matches the Rfam family "Bacterial small subunit ribosomal RNA", at positions 523 to 796 of the family's 1533-position model. The record is from RNAcentral.
CUACGGAGGGUGCAAGCGUUAUUCGGAAUCACUGGGCGUAAAGGACGCGUAGGCGGGUUGGCAAGCCAGAUGUGAAAUCCUACAGCUUAACUGUAGAACUGCAUUUGAAACUGCUAACCUAGAGUAUGGGAGGGGGAGAUGGAAUUAGUGGUGUAGGGGUAAAAUCCGUAGAUAUCACUAGGAAUACCGAAAGCGAAGGCGAUCUCCUGGAACAUAACUGACGCUAAGGCGUGAAAGCGUGGGGAGCAAACAGGAUUAGAUACCCUAGUAGUCC